UCUCCCUCUCCCCUCCCUCCCUUCUUCUACUCCAUCCAUGACGCCAGUUCAUUUGAAUGGCAAGAUUUUUCUGAGCUGGGAUAAGCGAGAUACAGGAAAUCACUAUUGAAAGACUUCUUUAUUCUUGGUGUCAUCAUCACCUUAGUAUGAGGGACAACCAGAGGGCCCAGUGACGAAAGAGGAGGCCUGGACCAGCCAGGAUGUCCAAGGACCCAGAGCAACUCUCAGAAAGAAGAGUCUAUGUCCCUGUACACAGAAUCUGGCUUGACUUUGCGACUUGCUUUCACCAAUCAAAUGCAGAAGAAGUGAAGUCUGGUCCUCAGGAGGUUUUGUACUCCUCUGCUGACUCUCCUGGGAUGCUAAAAACGCCAUGAGUCCUAGUUACGACUAACUUACAUGGCCUAGUCACCUCCAUUGUCCAAGCCAAUAGGUACCCAGCCAUCACACCUAGAGUGAGGCCAUUCCAAUCUCCAGCUGAUCUGCUGUGGAUGAGCAUGGCCAAGAUCAACUGAGCUUGGCUCAGAUGAGCAAGACUCCCUGGAUAACCUACAAUCUUGUGGAGAAAUGGAGGCACUCAUGGAUCAAGCAUUUUCCCAGGGCCACAUAGUUAAUGUAGCACUUAGAAGACUGGGUAUCUUUUUCAAUGCCACAUAGUAGCACAGCUAGGAGUUGAACCAGGCAGUCUGGUGCUACAGGCCAUACAUUUUGACAUGUGUUUUGUUGCCUCUUGACAAAGUCCAUGGACUGUGAUCCUGGGACCAACAGCAUCAGUAUCAACUGGGAACUUCUUAGAAAUUCAAAUUCUUGGGGCUAUUCCCCAAAUUUCUGAGUCAGAAGCUCUGGGGAUAGGGCCCAGCAAGCUAUGUGUUAACAGACUUUUUAGAUCAGGGGUUCCCCCCAACUCCCAGGCCAAGAACCAGUACCAGUCUGUGGCCUGUUAGGAACCAGGCUGCACAGCAGGAGGUGAGGGCAGGUGAGCAUUACUGCCUGAGCCCUGCCUCCUCCUAUCAGAUCAGUGGUGUCAUGGCAUUAGAUUCUCACAGGAUCAAGAACCAUAUUGUGAACUGCACACACAAGGGAUAUAGGCUGCAUGCUCCUUAUAAGCAUCUAAUGCCUGAUGACCUGAGCUAGAACAAUUUCAUCCUGAAACCACCUCCCCCUUCCCCCAACCCCGUCCGUGAAAAAAUUGUCUUCUAUGAAACUGGCCCCUGGUGCCAAAAAGGUUGGGGGUGGCUGUUUCAGAUUAUUCUUACUCAGGAUAAAAUUUGAGGACACCUGCCCUAGCUCCUUAAAUUUAAGCUAUAAUUCAUAAAUUGGGUUCUUACGGUGCAUUAGAAUAAUGCAUUGAAUAGGUGAUUUUUGGAUGACUCCUAUGUGCUAACUACCAUUGUACUUGUAGGUGUUACCAUGCAGAACAAAAGGUAAAGUAUUCCUUGGGAAAUAAACAGCCAAAUAAAGACUUAAAUACACACAAGAUCUCAGCUAUCACAUUCGAUAAUUUCCAGAAAGAAAAGAAGUGUGAUACCAGAGCACAUGACAAGAAGUGGGUUUGAGGGUGAGAGGUGGGGGUGGUGUCAUCAAAGUCUUUCUUAAGUGAAUGAUGAUGUAUAAGAAAAAGUUGAUGGUUCUGGACACUGGCUGCACAUUGCAGUCUCUUGGGGAGGCCUAAAAACCUUUAGGCCACAUCCCAGACCAAUUGAACCGGAGAGUUGGGUUUGGGGCGCAGGCAUCAGUAUUUAUUUAUUUAUUUAUUUAUUUAUUUAUUUGAGAUGGAGUCUCACUCUGUCACCAGGUUGGAGUGCAAUGGUGCAAUCUCGGUUCACUAUAACCUCUGCCUCUCAGGUUCAAGCGAUUUUCUUGCCUCAGCCUCCCCAGUAGCUGGGACUACAGGCGCCUGCCACCAUGCGCAGUUAAUUUUUGUAUUUUUAGUAUAGAUGGGGUUUCACCAUGUUGGCCAGGAUGGUCUCGAUCUCUUGACCUCGUGAUCCGCCCUCCUCGGCCUCCCAAAGUGCUGGGAUUACAGGCGUGAGCCGCUGCACCUGGCCAGCAUUUUUUUAAAUCACCUCAAGUGAUAUCAGUUUGCAGCCCAGGUUUAAGACUCCCUGAACUUAAGGCUAUAGGGGAGAUAUGCAGGCCUGAUGAAAGAGUGACAUGAAAGAAGUUAGUGUCAGAACAAAGUGUUUGAUAGCACAAAAAAGACCAAGAAGACAAAAGAUUUGUGUAUGUAUAAUGCACUUGUGUAAUAUAAUGUAUUUACUACAUGAGUGAAUAAAACAGAUUAGCUUUUAAUACAUGCUAUUAAAAGAUAAGCUACUAAUACAUGCAUUUAGAGAAGAAGAAAUGUUAGGAAAAUACUAGUGGAAAAUAGGAUGUGAAGAGAGGUGAGUUCCUUCCUGUAGAGGAGUUUGCCACUUAUGUAAAAAAACUAAUCAACAUUUAUGGAGUGACUACUAAGUGCUCUCUAGCAGAUGCCAUGAAGACAAUCCUUUUCUACUCUCAGUAGUCUCAGGUCUGCUGAGGUAAUGCUUCUAGGAAAAACGGUUUUGAUUUCAAUAUAAAAUCGUAACUUGAUUAUGGUUAUAUGCCCACCUAUAGAUGGAAGAUGGAAAAUCCUUGAAAAAUGUACUAGUGAACUGGUUCUGCUGAUAACUUAUUUUCAAUACUACUUAAGUAACUAUAUAAUUAGUGGAAAAAAGAAUAUUGUCUGAGACUAAAAUGUGAAAUAUUAAUUGCAUUUUUGGUCCCUAUUGAUAGCCGUCUCUGCAUCUACACUCUUGGUAAUUGAGACUUUGUGGCUGCUCGUUUGAAGAGAUAGAAUCUAAUUCCCUAGCCUUGUCUCUGGACUGGCCUUAUGAUUCUCUUUAACCAUAGAAUGUGGGAGAAGUGAUGAUGUGCCUAUUCUAAGUCUAGGCCUCAAGAAGUCUUGAAAGAUUCUGUUCCCUCUUGGUUAGUCCACUGGAGGAUGAGAGACCCACGGCCCAAUAACCUCCAUUGCCUCGGCCAACAGACAGUCAACUUCCAGUCUCACCAUUGCCUAGACUACCACAGGGACCACAGACACAUAACGGUGCCCAGCCAAGACAAGAAGAAACAUCCAGCUGAGUCCAGCCUAAAUUGCUGAUCUGCAGAAUUGAAAACUUGGGAGGAAGACAUACUAUACCACAUGGUCCUUUCCUUUUUCUGUGGAUGGCAAAAAGAUGCAUCACUUCCCGGAGCUUAUGAUAGAAGAUGCUCCUUCGCCAGUGUGAGACACUUAAAAGGACAAUGAUUUGUGCAGGGAACUAACCCUGUGUGCUACGUGUCCUUUUGCUCCAUUUUACUGAUGUGACAAUUGGAGCAGAAUAGUUUAUGUGGCAAAUUUUCCCAGCAUUUAUUUGCACUGCUUACUACAUUCACAUUCUAGUUUACAAAUCUUGACAAAGACAACUGAAUAGGUGUUUUGCAUGAAUGUACUUAUUUUGUAUUGAAGUAUGACACACAUGCAGAGAAGUGACAUUGUCAUAAGCAAAUGGCUUGAUGGCUUUUACAAACUGAAUGUAUGUAUAACCAACAUCGAGAACUAGAAGCAGCUUUUUCAGCCCCUCCUUCCUGAAACUUUUCCUCUCCUUCCACCUUGACCAAGUGUAAUCUCUCUCCUGACCUCUGGCAGAAUAGGUUAGUUUUGCUUAUUUUUAUUUUUAUAUGAGGUGAAUCUCUAGUGUCUGGGUUCUUUUCCUGAAAGCUGUGUUUAUGGAAUUCAUCCAUAUCAUUGUAUGUGGUUAUAGAUUCUCAUUGCUGUGUAGUAGUUCAAUGGCAUGAAUAUACACUAAUCAUUUAUCCGUUCCACUGUUGAUGUGCAAUUGGAGAAUUUCCAAUUUAGAGCUAUUAUGAAUAAUGCUGCUAGAGCCAUUCUAAUGCAUAUCUUCCAGUGAACACAUAUACGCAGUUCUCUUGGGAAUAUUCCUAAGUGUGGAAUUGCUGGGUCGUAGAUGUACAUUUUUAAAAAUCAUAAUAUUAGAGUCGAGUAUGCAGAAUUGACUGAAUUCUAAAACCAAAAGCUAAUUUUUUGAAGUGUGAAUUUCUGUUUGGGGAAAGUGAAUAAUGUGAAGAAACAUAACAUUUUUAUUUAUGGAAAUAAAUUUCAUGUCCUCUGAGCUAACAUCGCCCGUUCUUACGUCUGAAUGGCAGGAUGUUGAGUGUGCUGACGCGGUCAUUUUCUGCGGGGCUGCUCCCAGCUUAGCAUUCUUGCCACAUAAACUCUUCUAGCCCAAACCUUGAAAUACUGCAGGAAGUGGCAUCAGCCCUUUUGUGUUCUUUUCCGGCACCAGGUUGCUCAUCUCUCCCUGUGCCCAUUUGAGGUAAUAUACUGACAGUUGUCAAGAUGAGUCAUGGCUCUUUCUCAGACACACAGGGAGACCAAGUUUGUGACUAAUCGACAAAUCCUCUGGACACAGGCUGAGCCACCAAGAGCCACCCUCGUCCCGGCAAGUUCAGGCCUGGGCUGCAACCUCUGACAGCCAGAGGGGAAAGCAAACAUUGGCAGAACAGUUCUGUUUAUUUGCUUCUCUGAUUUUGAAGACAUGCAGCUUUCUCUCACUCUUCUCCAUUUCCUCUAAAAAAUUUUAUUAAUCUUAGCUUAUUUAUGGCCUUUAGCGUUUGUCUGCCUGUUCAUGCAUGUGCUCAGAAU
Molecule: long non-coding RNA, 4666 nt
Filed under: Homo sapiens (human)
Lineage: Eukaryota; Metazoa; Chordata; Mammalia; Primates; Hominidae
Description: HSALNT0264350
Source: RNAcentral